RNAcentral lists this ribosomal RNA (497 nucleotides) under uncultured bacterium. RNAcentral's name for it is "partial 16S ribosomal RNA". It matches the Rfam family "Bacterial small subunit ribosomal RNA", at positions 28 to 507 of the family's 1533-position model. The record is from RNAcentral.
GAUGAACGCUGGCGGCGUGCCUAAUACAUGCAAGUCGAACGAACAGACUAGGACCGUUCUCUUCUGACGUUAGCGUUUUAUGGCUGAGUGACACGUGGAUAAGUAACCUAUGAGUCUGGUACAACUUCCAGAAACCUGGCCGAAUACCGCAGAAGAUAAUACACCAUAAGGGCACAGUAUCAAAUGCGGCUUUGUGGAAACCUCUGGAGGUAUCCGCGCCGCAUUAGUUAGUUGGUAUGGUUGCGGGUUACCAGGGCAACGAUGCGUACCCGACCUAACAGGGUGAUCGGCCACCCUGGCACUGAGACACGGUCGAGACUCCUACGGGAGGCCGCAGUAGGGACUCUUCCGCGAUGGGCGAGAGCCUGACGGAGCAACGCCGCGUGAGUGAUGAAGCUCUUCGGCUCGUAAAGCGCUGUUAUUAGUGAAGAACAAAUGUGUAAGUAACUAUGCACGUAUUGACGGUACCUGAUCAGAAAGCCACGGCUAACUACGUG